Molecule: long non-coding RNA, 867 nt
Organism: Brassica oleracea var. oleracea
Lineage: Eukaryota; Viridiplantae; Streptophyta; Magnoliopsida; Brassicales; Brassicaceae
Exons: 4
Source: RefSeq, a predicted model, not a curated record
UCUGAGUCUCACCAAUCUUCUUCUCUUUCUUUCCCACUCCAUGUUUCUUUGAUUUUAAUCUUAUCAUUGUUUUUCAAUCUUAUUUGAUUCAAUUCGCUUCCUCACGUUCUCAGUUUCGAUCUCUAACCACCGUUGAUUGAAGCUUCACAACCACACUCCUUUUGACACCGCGUCACCACCACCACCACCACCACCAACCCUCCCAUCUGCCAUCGCUUCUCAGAUCCGUCUUCACCAGAGUCGCCACCACCACCGUCACGCUCGUCAUAAUCACCACUCAGCUCUCUGUCUCUCACUUUCUGUUUCUUAUUCUCUCUGCAUUGAGAAAGAAGCGCGAGGCACUCACCAGUGGCAGUUCUUUUACCAAAUCUAAAAGCUUUGCUUCAGGACAUUGACAGAAGCCGAGGAGCCAGAAGAUAUCUUUCAGGUCGAUGGUGAAGUCAAUAAACUCAGGUAGAUUAUGUAAAGUUGUGUGAAGUCGGACAUUAUCUCGUUGGAGUAUGAAAAGGUGAAGUUUCAUGGAGAGCUUGAUACUGGAAGAAGACAGAGGCUACGUCCUUUGGUGCUCCUGGAAACCGUGUUGCUGAAUUGGUAUUUAACACCUCCUUGACAGGUUAGCUGUGGGGACAUUAGAUGGAGUUGGAGUCGAGCAAGAUAGAAGAGAGGAGAUGGAGUUGGUUCAGAAGCGAGGGAAGAGAGAUACAUAAGAAGUUUGAUGGCGCUGGAAGAGUAGAGACGUUAGGAAUGAUUGCGAAGGGUUAUUAGUAGUAGAUUGAUAGUAUUUUUGAUAGAUUUUGAUGGUUUGUGUAAACAAGAAAAUGUUUUAUGGUUUUGUAAAUAUUUAAAUAUUUUUUAGUGUUUAUAAAU